AGCGAACAUUGGCGGUAGGCUUAACACAUGCAAGUCGAGCGAGGCUAAGAGCCGAGCGGCGAACGGGUGAGUAAUACGUUGAAAUCUACCCUGGAGUGGGGAAUAACCAGCAGAAAUGCUGGCUAAUGCCGCAUAAUCCAUAUUGGGAAAGCGCUUAGCGCUCUAGGAUGAGUCAACGGCCGAUUAGCUAGUUGGUGGGGUAAAGGCCCACCAAGGCGACGAUCGGUAGCUGGUCUGAGAGGAUGAUCAGCCACACUGGAACUGAGACACGAUCCAGACUCCUACGGGAGGCAGCAGUGGGGAAUCUUGCGCAAUGGGGGCAACCCUGACGCAGCCAUACCGCGUGAGUGAUGAAGGUCUUCGGAUUGUAAAGCUCUUUCGGCGGGGACGACGAUGACGGUACCCGCAAAAGAAGUCACGGCUAACUUCGUGCCAGCAGCCGCCGCAG
This 448-nucleotide ribosomal RNA is filed under the name uncultured bacterium. RNAcentral describes it as "partial 16S ribosomal RNA". It matches the Rfam family "Bacterial small subunit ribosomal RNA", at positions 29 to 523 of the family's 1533-position model. The record is from RNAcentral.